UGAGUAUAACGUUUACGAGCAUAUGGUGAUUACUAAGAUCAAAGAUGGUGUAAACGUUGCUGCAUCUCAUCCUCUAAUAUCAGGCGGUUUAGCCUUUGGUGUUGGAGUCUUUGCUCUGAAAA
This is a long non-coding RNA of Brassica oleracea var. oleracea, 122 nucleotides long. RefSeq lists it as uncharacterized. Lineage: Eukaryota; Viridiplantae; Streptophyta; Magnoliopsida; Brassicales; Brassicaceae. The record is from RefSeq and is a predicted model, not a curated record. The transcript is spliced from 2 exons.